UACGUAGGGCGCGAGCGUUGUCCGGAUUUAUUGGGCGUAAAGAGCUCGUAGGCGGCUUGUCGCGUCGAAUGUGAAAUCUCAGGGCUCAACUCUGACAUUGCAUUCGAUACGGGCAGGCUAGAGUUCGGUAGGGGAGACUGGAAUUCCUGGUGUAGCGGUGAAAUGCGCAGAUAUCAGGAGGAACACCGGUGGCGAAGGCGGGUCUCUGGGCCGAUACUGACGCUGAGGAGCGAAAGCAUGGGGAGCGAACAGG
RNAcentral lists this ribosomal RNA (253 nucleotides) under uncultured bacterium. Its description in RNAcentral is "partial 16S ribosomal RNA". It matches the Rfam family "Bacterial small subunit ribosomal RNA", at positions 524 to 776 of the family's 1533-position model. The record is from RNAcentral.